UCCAGCUGCGGGUUUUUGUCUCUGAUCAGUGGACUGAGAGAAAGCGGUUUGCCUCGCGCCCCACGCAGCUCCUCCAGCUCUCGCUGUGCAGCCGUCUCUGUGAGCGUCUCCCUCUUAUUGGCAGCAGCUGCAGCAGAGAACUGUGAGGCCGAGACAGCCACACCCUCUGCCCCCCCGGCCUGUUACUGCGUCACACAGAAACCAGUCAAAGCUGUGGUGUUAUUGAAGCAGGUGGAGCAGGUGCAGAGAAUUCCAAUUCCAGCGGUGUCAGUGACCGCAGGUGUAACGUCUUUUCAGUGGCACGAGGACACUCGUAUCUGCGGAUAUCUGAUAGCGAGCCUUUCUGAUCAGCUGAGCAGCGGCAGAGAGGAAAACCUGCAGACUGAAGUUUGAUUUAUAAUCCAGCUACUUAACAGACUGAAGAGGAACUCUUCAUAAAAAUGGCCUCAAGGCAAAGAAGGAGCACAGAGCUGCCUCUUGAACUGUCUGAAAUAAUUGACAAACUUAUCAAACAUGCAGAUUCAUUCAUCAAAGACUUUGACAACAGUGAACACAAGAUGAGAGAGAUUGUAGGAGAGAUUCAGAAGAUCACUGCUGAAGUAGAACAGAUGCAGAAGGAAACGGAUGCAGUCAGAACAACAGCAGUUGUUCCUGGAGGAGUUGGACUUGGACUUUUGAUCCUUGCAGCUCUCUUCACUGGGGGGCUGAGCUUAUUAGCAGGAGCAGCUGCCAGAGGACCAGCAGAAGCAGCAGUAGUAGUAGGAUUAGCAGCAUUAACAGCAGUAGCAGCAGUAGCAGUAGCAAUAAGAGCAGCAUUACAAGGAGCAGGAGCAGCAGUAGCAGAAGGAGCA
Long non-coding RNA from Micropterus salmoides (largemouth bass), 851 nucleotides. RefSeq lists it as uncharacterized. Lineage: Eukaryota; Metazoa; Chordata; Actinopteri; Centrarchiformes; Centrarchidae. The record is from RefSeq and is a predicted model, not a curated record. The transcript is spliced from 5 exons.